This is a long non-coding RNA of Homo sapiens (human), 907 nucleotides long. RefSeq lists it as uncharacterized. The record is from RefSeq and is a predicted model, not a curated record. Lineage: Eukaryota; Metazoa; Chordata; Mammalia; Primates; Hominidae. The transcript has 2 exons.
CCUUCCCCUCUGAAAAAAGAGGGAGCAAUUAUUUUUACUAUGGAAUGUAAGCAAAUCGUUUCUUAGGGAUUGGGAGACUUGUCUCUAUCCCAGGACAUGAGCAUCUGGCAACAGAAGAGAUGAGAAGGUCAUAUGAGCUGCAUUUCAGAGGCGGUCCUGUGCCAUACCAUGGAGAAAGGAAUGCUGCACAGAGGCCAAGAUGAAAUCUCCACCGACAGACCUUGCUGGAUUUUCCCACUCAGUCUGUGACUAUUAGAUUAUACCCCUUUGUCCAAUUGCAUUUGUACACAGUUGUUCAUGCUUCAGUCAUGCCUAUUCAAUGAAAUUUCCAUAGAAGGCCCAAGAGGAAAGAGUUUGAAGAGCUUCCAGAAAACGGAACAUGUGGAGGUUCCUGGAAGAUAGCAAGGCCGGAGAGAACAUUGAAGCUUUGUGAGCCUUCCCUCAUACCUUUCCCUAUGCAUCUCUUCAUCUGCACCCUUUGGAAUAUCUUUUGUAAUAAACCCGUUUCCUGGAGUUCAGUAAGCUGCUCUAACAAGUUUAUCAAACCCAAGGAGGGGGUUGUGGGAAUACCAAUUUACAGGCGGUUGGUUAGAAGCACAAGUUAAACAACCUGGGGCUUGUGAUUGACAUUGGAAGUGGGGGCAGUCUUGUGCGACUGGGCCUGUGGAAUCUGAUGCUAUCCCCAGAGAAAUAGUCAGAAGACAAAUGGAGGACAGCAAGCUGGUGUUGGCUGAAUAAUUGAUUGCUUGCUUGCUGGUAGGGAGAGAUCCCUACACAUCUUGUCAUAUAAGUCUUAUGUUGAUUGCUGUGAUGUGAGAGCAGAGGAAAAACAGCUGGAGUUGUUUUUUUUUUUCCUAACCGUAGUAUAAAAUGUAUUCAAAAUACAAUAAAAAUAUUGCUGAAUUAA